RNAcentral lists this ribosomal RNA (498 nucleotides) under uncultured Glomeromycotina. Its description in RNAcentral is "partial small subunit ribosomal RNA". It matches the Rfam family "Eukaryotic small subunit ribosomal RNA", at positions 591 to 1092 of the family's 1831-position model. The record is from RNAcentral. Lineage: Eukaryota; Fungi; Glomeromycota.
CCAAUAGCGUAUAUUAAAGUUGUUGCAGUUAAAAAGCUCGUAGUUGAAUUUCGGGGUUCUUCCGUUGGUCGGGCUAUCCAGUCUGUACUAGCGUGUAGAAUUCCUACCUUCUGGGGAACCAUCAUGUUAUUAAUUUAGCGUGGUGGGAAACCAGGACCUUUACCUUGAAAAAAUUAGAGUGUUCAAAGCAGGCUUACGUCUGAAUACAUUAGCAUGGCAUAAUAGAAUAGGACGGUGGUCCUGUUUUGUUGGUUUCUGAAUCACCGUAAUGAUUAAUAGGGAUAGUUGGGGGCAUUAGUAUUCAAGUGUCAGAGGUGAAAUUCUUGGAUUUAUUGAAGACUAACUUCUGCGAAAGCAUUUGCCAAGGAUGUUUUCAUUAAUCAAGAACGAAAGUUAGGGGAUCGAAGACGAUCAGAUACCGUCGUAGUCUUAACCAUAAACUAUGCCGACUAGGGAUCGGACGAUGUUAAAUUUUAUUGACUCGUUCGGCGCCUUACG